This 451-nucleotide ribosomal RNA is filed under the name uncultured bacterium. RNAcentral describes it as "partial 16S ribosomal RNA". It matches the Rfam family "Bacterial small subunit ribosomal RNA", at positions 29 to 523 of the family's 1533-position model. The record is from RNAcentral.
AACGAACGCUGGCGGCAUGCCUAACACAUGCAAGUCGAACGAGUGCCUUCGGGUGCUAGUGGCGCACGGGUGCGUAACGCGUGGGAAUCUGCCCUUUGGUCUGGGAUAACCGUUGGAAACGACGGCUAAUACCGGAUGAUGACGUAAGUCCAAAGAUUUAUCGCCAGAGGAUGAGCCCGCGUAGGAUUAGCUAGUUGGUGGGGUAAAGGCCUACCAAGGCGACGAUCCUUAGCUGGUCUGAGAGGAUGAUCAGCCACACUGGGACUGAGACACGGCCCAGACUCCUACGGGAGGCAGCAGUGGGGAAUAUUGGACAAUGGGCGCAAGCCUGAUCCAGCAAUGCCGCGUGAGUGAUGAAGGCCUUAGGGUUGUAAAGCUCUUUUACCCGGGAUGAUAAUGACAGUACCGGGAGAAUAAGCUCCGGCUAACUCCGUGCCAGCAGCCGCCGUAA